CCUACGGGAGGCAGCAGUGAGGAAUAUUGGUCAAUGGUCGGGAGACUGAACCAGCCAAGCCGCGUGAGGGAUGAAGGUACAGAGUAUCGUAAACCUCUUUUGUCAGGGAACAAAGGCGGGGACGCGUCCCCGGAUGAGUGUACCUGAAGAAAAAGCAUCGGCUAACUCCGUGCCAGCAGCCGCGGUAAUACGGAGGAUGCGAGCGUUUUCCGGAUUUAUUGGGUUUAAAGGGUGCGCAGGCGGUCUGUUAAGUCAGCGGUCAAACCCCGGGGCUCAACCCCGGCCCGCCGUUGAAACUGGCAGUCUCGAGUUGGAGAGAAGUAUGCGGAAUGAGCGGUGUAGCGGUGAAAUGCAUAGAUAGCGCGCAGAACUCCGAUUGCGAAGGCAGCAUGCCGGCUCCACACUGACGCUGAGGCACGAAAGCGUGGGUAUCGAACAGGAUUAGAUACCCCUGUAGUC
This 459-nucleotide ribosomal RNA is filed under the name uncultured bacterium. RNAcentral describes it as "partial 16S ribosomal RNA". It matches the Rfam family "Bacterial small subunit ribosomal RNA", at positions 338 to 795 of the family's 1533-position model. The record is from RNAcentral.